RNAcentral lists this ribosomal RNA (494 nucleotides) under Pseudophasma scabriusculum. Its description in RNAcentral is "partial 28S ribosomal RNA". The record is from RNAcentral. Lineage: Eukaryota; Metazoa; Arthropoda; Insecta; Phasmatodea; Pseudophasmatidae.
CCUGAAUUCGAAAGGGGCCGGAUUCAAGUCCAUCCUGAUUGCUCAGGCCGCUCGGCCCCGCCAGAUGGUGCCGGUCGCCCGCGGCGAUUCAUUUCGCUUGCGGUGUCGUUCCCGGUGCUCACUCGGUGGGGUGGCGUUGCUCUGGCGUCGGAGGAGUGCACUUCCACCCUAGUAGAAACGUCGCGACCCGUUGGGUGCCGGUCUAAGGCCCGGGAUGGCAGACCACGUGUCCUGCGGGGGCUCUCGCAGGCGCGCGGACUCCUGGUGUCCCGGCCGGCUGCCCGACGGUAAGACCAGAGGGGUCGAUCCGCUACUUGGGAAACACUGUGGUGUGUAGCGUCCGGCCCGGCGCCGACACGUGCGGGGAUUAAGGUGCAAGCCGUGGGUGUCCGUGCGAAGCACGGCCCCUGCCCCGCCGCGUCGUCGGAUUUGCCGGUGUCCUCGGACAGGAUCGCAACCCCCGUCUGCGACGCCCACCUUCGGAUGGUCUCCCG